RNAcentral lists this ribosomal RNA (492 nucleotides) under uncultured bacterium. RNAcentral's name for it is "partial 16S ribosomal RNA". It matches the Rfam family "Bacterial small subunit ribosomal RNA", at positions 30 to 507 of the family's 1533-position model. The record is from RNAcentral.
AUUGAACGCUGGCGGCAUGCUUUACACAUGCAAGUCGAACGGUAACAGGCCUUCGGGUGCUGUCGAGUGGCGAACGGGUGAGUAAUGCAUCGGAACGUACCCAGAGGUGGGGGAUAACGCAGCGAAAGCUGUGCUAAUACCGCAUGUGAUCUGAGGAUGAAAGCGGGGGACCGAGCAGCAAUGUUUGGCCUCGCGCCUUUGGAGCGGCCGAUGUCGGAUUAGCUAGUUGGUGGGGUAAAGGCCUACCAAGGCGACGAUCCGUAGCUGGUCUGAGAGGACGACCAGCCACACUGGGACUGAGACACGGCCCAGACUCCUACGGGAGGCAGCAGUGGGGAAUUUUGGACAAUGGGCGCAAACCUGAUCCAGCAAUGCCGCGUGAGGGAAGAAGGCCUUCGGGUUGUAAACCGCUUUUGGCAGGAACGAAACGGUGUCCGCUAAUACCGGGCGCUAAUGACGGUACCUGCAGAAUAAGCACCGGCUAACUACGUG